Long non-coding RNA from Drosophila nasuta, 995 nucleotides. RefSeq lists it as uncharacterized. The record is from RefSeq and is a predicted model, not a curated record. Lineage: Eukaryota; Metazoa; Arthropoda; Insecta; Diptera; Drosophilidae. The transcript is spliced from 4 exons.
AAAUAUACGCUGUGAACAUUCUCUAGCUAGCAUCUAAAAUAACAAUUCCUUAUAAACUUUGCAAUUGGAGCAGACAAAAAUUACAAAUCACAUAUAUAAGGUUAACAACUUGAGAAUCGUUGAAGAGGAACUUGCGAAGCUACAAGUUAAUUCAAAUCUCACUUUUGAGAAUCACUGAUAAGGGAUUGCAUUUUGAACAUCACUGAAGACUGGAAGUGUCCUCUAGACACAUAGUAUUUAGUACUUUUGGAAUCUACACGCCACUUCAAUAACUUCAACUCUAAUGACUAGCAAGACGGCACUCGCAGAGCACGAUGCUCUGCGUCGAGCACCAGCCUCAAGACCACACACACAGCAGCGGAGCAUGGCGCAACCCUUGCACCCCGCAGCCUCUUCUUGUAAGAGUGGGUGGGGGUGAAAGGAGGAGGAGGAGAAGGAGGAGGGGGAAGGGGAGUCAAGGAAGGAAGUCAAGCGAAGUGUGCGGCGCACGUGCUGCCCCCAAAUAUGAAUAUGAAUAUGAAUACGAGAAGAGCGAGAGAGAAUAGUAACUUACUCUAAGGCCCGGGCAUGAUACACAACGAGAUUCUGUGCCCACUUGACGUUCUCCUCCUCGGUGUGGGCAUCGCCAUCGUAGGCUUCCAAAGUGUCAGCCAUGUAGUUGAAGUGCAUUGUCAGCUGGGUGAUCGUGGUGAUGAGCAGCAGAUCGACGCAGACAUACGAGACACCAGCGACAUAGGCGCAAUGGGCCAAUCCCCAAUAGGAGAACCAAUAGACUGUGAUGUCCGUUUCGGCAUCGUAGGGAAAGUAAAUGUGAAAGCCGUAGUUGCGCUCAAAGAUCUCCGAGCCCAUGAAAUAGUAUUUGAUGGUCGACUUGAUGGCCGGAUAAAAGCUGAACGAUGAGGUUAGGCCACAUGAUACGCCUCCUGUUUCUCCUUGGACAUAGGAAAGAUCUCCUUGAGAUCGUCGAGCAGCUUGACCAACGUUCUGCGAUUCAC